This 592-nucleotide ribosomal RNA is filed under the name Pseudogymnoascus pannorum. Its description in RNAcentral is "LSU rRNA". It matches the Rfam family "Eukaryotic large subunit ribosomal RNA", at positions 38 to 648 of the family's 3401-position model. The record is from RNAcentral. Lineage: Eukaryota; Fungi; Ascomycota; Leotiomycetes; Thelebolales; Thelebolaceae.
GCAUAUCAAUAAGCGGAGGAAAAGAAACCAACAGGGAUUACCUCAGUAACGGCGAGUGAAGCGGUAACAGCUCAAAUUUGAAAUCUGGCCUCACGGUCCGAGUUGUAAUUUGUAGAGGAUGCUUCGAGCAUGGUCUGGCCUAAGUUCCUUGGAACAGGACGUCAUAGAGGGUGAGAAUCCCGUAUGCGGCCAGGUGCCUACGCUCAUGUGAAGCUCCUUCGACGAGUCGAGUUGUUUGGGAAUGCAGCUCAAAAUGGGUGGUAAAUUUCAUCUAAAGCUAAAUAUUGGCCAGAGACCGAUAGCGCACAAGUAGAGUGAUCGAAAGAUGAAAAGCACUUUGGAAAGAGAGUUAAACAGUACGUGAAAUUGUUGAAAGGGAAGCGCUUGCAACCAGACUUGCGCGCGGCCGAUCAUCCGGUGUUCUCACCGGUGCACUCGGCCGUGCUCAGGCCAGCAUCGGUUUUGGCGGCUGGAUAAAGGCCCUAGGAAUGUAGCUCCUCUCGGGGAGUGUUAUAGCCUAGGGUGCAAUGCAGCCUGCUGGGACCGAGGACCGCGCUUCGGCUAGGAUGCUGGCGUAAUGGUUGUAAGCGGC